Molecule: ribosomal RNA, 465 nt
Filed under: Vreelandella stevensii
Lineage: Bacteria; Pseudomonadati; Pseudomonadota; Gammaproteobacteria; Oceanospirillales; Halomonadaceae
Description: partial 16S ribosomal RNA
Rfam family: Bacterial small subunit ribosomal RNA
Source: RNAcentral
CCUACGGGAGGCAGCAGUGGGGAAUAUUGGACAAUGGGGGGAACCCUGAUCCAGCCAUGCCGCGUGUGUGAAGAAGGCCCUCGGGUUGUAAAGCACUUUCAGUGAGGAAGAACGCCUGGUGGUUAAUACCCUUCAGGAAAGACAUCACUCACAGAAGAAGCACCGGCUAACUCCGUGCCAGCAGCCGCGGUAAUACGGAGGGUGCGAGCGUUAAUCGGAAUUACUGGGCGUAAAGCGCGCGUAGGUGGCUUGAUAAGCCGGUUGUGAAAGCCCCGGGCUCAACCUGGGAACGGCAUCCGGAACUGUCAAGCUAGAGUGCAGGAGAGGAAGGUAGAAUUCCCGGUGUAGAGGUGAAAUGCGUAGAGAUCGGGAGGAAUACCAGUGGCGAAGGCGGCCUCCUGGACCGACACUGACACUGAGGUGCGAAAGCGUGGGUAGCAAACAGGAUUAGAUACCCGUGUAGUC